UUUUUUUUUUUUUUUGACAAAAUGGGUUUCAAUAUGUUGCCCUACAAAACAAUAUUGGUAUGGAGAUGCAACAUAGGCUGUGUACCAGGUAAAGAUCAAAUGAAGCACUCGAGCAGGUCAAGAUAAAGAGAACUUAAGUUAUUAAUAAAACAAUGUUAUCACAAUUUGAAAUCGUAAAAACAAAACCAUCUCUCUUGAUGAAGGAGAUGAAAUAUACUUUUAAGAACACAAAAAAGAUACUACAAAUGCUCAUUGUUGCAAAAGUCCAUGGGAAAAAAAAUAAAACAAAAAUGAAAUGAAUUUUUUAGGAGUUUUUGAUGUUCUUCACUUCUUACUCUUCUUCUUCCUAGAGGCAAAGCUUCUAGGUCCAAUUUCAAUUGACAUUCUUUUUGUCCUGUAAAGUAGAAAAGUAAAAAGUUGUUUCUAACUCGAGGAGAGAUCAAGAGGAAGAUUGAGUCCCAACGAAAACAGAAAAUCAAAUAAUAUAGCAACAUACCGCCUAGAAAGCUCUUCUGACUCCCUGCCAUUUUCUUCAACUUUACCAUCUGAUGAGAAAAAUAUUGUCAAUUACAAAGAUCAGGUGCGAAGUAUAUCUGUUACAUUUGCUAAUUCUAAUUUCUAACACAGGCAUAGAAAAACUAAUAUUUUAAAGUAGACCAAGCUUCACAAUUAAUAGGGAGUAGGACACUUAAAAAAGAAGGAGAAGAGUUGAUAAAAAUGCAACAACCUUAAGGUAGGCCCUCUCUCUUUAAGAGUUCACUUAAUCUAGAUAUAUGUGCUCUAUGAUAAAGAGCUUGAUCAACAAAUAUAAUCUCUAUUUGUUCUGUGUUCAUUUAAAAUUCACAAAAAAUAUAACCUUUAUAAAAAAAAAAAAAGAGCUUGCUUG
RNAcentral lists this unclassified non-coding RNA (886 nucleotides) under Hevea brasiliensis (rubber tree). Lineage: Eukaryota; Viridiplantae; Streptophyta; Magnoliopsida; Malpighiales; Euphorbiaceae. The record is from RNAcentral.